This 60-nucleotide small RNA is filed under the name Sinorhizobium meliloti 2011. RNAcentral describes it as "putative ncRNA". The record is from RNAcentral. Lineage: Bacteria; Pseudomonadati; Pseudomonadota; Alphaproteobacteria; Hyphomicrobiales; Rhizobiaceae.
GUUCGAGAGUGCCGCUUGUGCCUUCUCCCCGCUUGCGGGGAGAAGGUGCCGGCAGGCGGA